This 253-nucleotide ribosomal RNA is filed under the name uncultured bacterium. RNAcentral's name for it is "partial 16S ribosomal RNA". It matches the Rfam family "Bacterial small subunit ribosomal RNA", at positions 524 to 776 of the family's 1533-position model. The record is from RNAcentral.
UACGGAGGGUGCAAGCGUUAUCCGGAUUCACUGGGUUUAAAGGGUGCGUAGGUGGGCAAGUAAGUCAGUGGUGAAAUCUCCGGGCUUAACACGGAAACUGCCAUUGAUACUAUUUGUCUUGAAUACUGUGGAGGUCAGCGGAAUAUGUCAUGUAGCGGUGAAAUGCUUAGAUAUGACAUAGAACACCAAUUGCGAAGGCAGCUGGCUACACAAAUAUUGACACUGAGGCACGAAAGCGUGGGGAUCAAACAGG